GGUUCGUGGGGAUUAGAGGGCAUUAGAUUUAGUUGAUUAUAGUACUUAUUUUUUUCUCAUAAAACCUAAAAAUAUCACCUGUAAGAAAUGGUAAAACUUGACAGUGUUCUCAGUAUUAUUAGAGUUCCUAUUUCUUCUCUUUCCUACUUAUGUUAGCAGUAGGCUAUCCACCCUGACAUAUUUUAAAAGGAGACAACAAAGAGGCAGCCAGUGAAAGUCCCCUUUCCACAGCCAUCUUCAGGCUCAGUAGAAGUGGGAGAAUAAUAUUGGAAUUAGUAUUGUAGACUUACAAGCUUAUGAAGAUGAAAUGCACUGUUCCCACCCCACACUCCUGUCUCUGUCAGACUCACCUUCAGUUAUGUCUAUUGUAACCCAGACAAGCUCACCCGAGACCCAGAAAAAUUGGGAGCUAGUUCCACGCUGUAUUAAAUAUGACUCACAAAUACACAAUCCUUUUUCUUUUCCAAUGACUUUUAUCACAUAGGGGAUGUUACAUUAUGUAUAAAUAUAUUUUUUUAUUUAAAAAUUUUUUUUGUCUUUUUAUGGCUGCACCCGUGGCAUAUGGAAGUUCCCAGGCUAGGGGUCCAAUCAGACCUGUAGCCACCGGCCUAUAUCAGAGCCACAGCAAUGCCAGAUCCGAUCCACGUCUGUGACCUACACUACAGCUCACGGCAAUGCCAGAUCCUUAACCCACUGAGCAAGGCCAGGGAUUGAACCCACAAACUCAUGGUUUCUAGUUGGAUUCGUUUCCACUGUGCCACGAUGGGAACUCCUUUUAUUAUUAUUAUUUCUUAUUUUAUAAACAUUUGAUUGUUUGGUUUGAACGUUGUCUCAUCGUGAAUGUAAAAGCAGCUAUUCUCUGCUACAGACAAAAUUCCAGAUUUCAGCUCGACCCGCCUACCUCUGAGAAAGUGGUUCUGGGAAGAUGCUGUGAACAUGGCAGGUGUCUUGUUAGAGUCAACUGGAUAUUAAAUCUGAAGACUGUCAGAAGAUAUAUUUGGCCCAGGCUUCUGUGGAGGGUGUCACACAGGAACUACAGCUGUCUACAGGAAGCAUCAGCCAUUCUUCUUCAGCUGGAGUUUUUGCAGCUGUAUAGCUCUGGUGCAAGGAUAUGAGAAACCCACCAGACAGGGUAAGAACUGUCAUGGCUUAGAAACCUCAGACCUUACUACUGUACCAAUUAUUUCUUAUAAUGACUCAAUAGGAUUCCAGUCUCCAAAGGGCAAUCCAGUCCCAAGAGUUACCAUACUCAGGAAGACCCAUAGCUACCUGUCUGAUUGGGUAUUUAGAGCACAUUUCUAGUCUCUCCCAAUCCAGAUGCAGUUGACCAAACAAGGGUUAUCUUAAUCAUUAAGCAACGUUGCUUAGUGCUAUAGACUUAAUAUUUAUUUUCCCCUACCCCUAAUCCAUAUGUUAAAUCCGAACCCCCAAGGUGAUUAGAGUUAGGAGAUGAACCCUUUGGAAAGUGAUUAGGUCAUGAAGGCAGAGCCUCCAAACCCAAGGAAUUCAUGCUCUUAUAAAAAGAAGACUGAGAAAGUGUCUACCUCUUCCCUCAUAUGAGGUUACAAAAAAGAUGGUAGUUUAGGACUGAAUCCUUGCCCAAUACCAAGCCUUCCAGCGCCUGGAUCUUAGACUUUCCAGCCUUCAGGACUGUGAGAUAUAAGUUUCUAUGGUUUAUAAAUUCCGCAGUCCGUGGUAUCUUUCUUACAGCAGCUUGAAUAGACACACACUUACUAUUGUAGUUAACAUUCCAUCUGAGGAACAAUCAGGUGUUUAGGUGGUCAUUUUAAGACAGCAAGCCAGGAGUUCCUAUUGUAAUGGUAAUUGGUUCAUUCAAUGGUAAUGAACCAGACUAGUGUCCAUGAGGAUGCAGGUUUGAUCCUUUGCCCCUUUUAGUGGGUUAAGGAUCCAGUGUUGCUGUGAGCUGCUCUGUAGGUCAAAGAUGUGGCUUGGAUCCUGUGUUGCUGUGGCAGUGGUGUAGACCAGCAGUUGCAGCUCUGAUUCAACCUCUAGCCUAGGAACUUUCAUGAGCUCCAGAGGCAGCCCUAAAGAGAGAGAAAGAGAAAAAAAAGAGAGAGCAAGCCACUGUACAGCAGAAACUGACAAUACAGUGUAAAUCAACUAUACUUUAAAAAACAAACAGCAAGCCAAAUGAGCAUAGUAAUCCAAACUUUAUUUCAUAAAAGUGGCAGUAAUAGCUAAGAGAAAUAUGAGGUGCCUGCUUCCCAGGGCUGUAUGUUCCCCAUGGAGUUAGACUCCUUACCACCUUUAUCAGGUCUCCAAAAGAUAGAGCUAAAAUUUAACCAAAGGGCCAGUUUUCAUUGAGAAGGGCCUUUAAUCCUUCACCUGUACUCAUAGUGUUUUUUUAUAUUGAUCUGUUUUUUUUUUCCUGGUUAUUUUGUAUUUAUUUACUUACUUUAAAAAUUUUAAUUUUCUUCUGUUAUAGCUGAUUUUUGACCUCCUUUAUUAACCUUUUUUUUCGGUCCUUUUU
RNAcentral lists this long non-coding RNA (2491 nucleotides) under Sus scrofa (pig). RNAcentral describes it as "lncRNA (ENSSSCG00005032086.1)". The record is from RNAcentral. Lineage: Eukaryota; Metazoa; Chordata; Mammalia; Artiodactyla; Suidae.